Molecule: ribosomal RNA, 207 nt
Filed under: uncultured bacterium
Lineage: Bacteria
Description: partial 16S ribosomal RNA
Rfam family: Bacterial small subunit ribosomal RNA
Source: RNAcentral
CAUGUAGGCGGUUGUUUAAGUCUGAUGUGAAAGCCCUGGGCUCAGCCCAGGAAGUGCAUUGGAUACUGGCCAACUUGAGUACGGGAGAGGAAAGUGGAAUUUCGAGUGUAGGGGUGAAAUCCGUAGAUAUUCGAAGGAACACCAGUGGCGAAGGCGGCUUUCUGGACCGAUACUGACGCUGAGAUGCGAAAGCGUGGGGAGCAAACA